GACAUCAGAUCAGACGUGGCAACCCGCUGAAUUUAAGCGUAUUAGUGAGCGGAGGAAAAGGGACUAACCAGGAUUCCCUCAGUAACGGUGAGUGAAGAGGGAAGAGCCCAGCGCCGAAUCCCCGCCCUGGGGUGGGGUGUGGGAAAUGUUGUGUAUGGAAGGCCCAGUCCCUGGCACUGCUCGUCGGUGGCCCAAGUCCUGGUCUAGGCCAAGACUGUGGAUGGUGUGAGGCUGGUAGCGGCCCCUGGCGUGCUGGGCCUGGGUCUUCCCGGAGUCGGGUUGCUUGGGAAUGCAGCC
This 297-nucleotide ribosomal RNA is filed under the name Bos taurus (domestic cattle). RNAcentral's name for it is "partial 28S ribosomal RNA". It matches the Rfam family "Eukaryotic large subunit ribosomal RNA", at positions 1 to 287 of the family's 3401-position model. Lineage: Eukaryota; Metazoa; Chordata; Mammalia; Artiodactyla; Bovidae. The record is from RNAcentral.